RNAcentral lists this long non-coding RNA (17629 nucleotides) under Citrus x clementina. Its description in RNAcentral is "Citrus clementina (C. clementina) long non-coding RNA (CCLE_LNC006607)". The record is from RNAcentral. Lineage: Eukaryota; Viridiplantae; Streptophyta; Magnoliopsida; Sapindales; Rutaceae.
GAACAAUUAGAACAACUGUAUAAACUUUUUCAGUCCACACAAGUGACUAAUCCAGUAUCUUCUUCUUGUUCCUUAGCCCAAAAAGGUACUUAUCAAUCUGUUGUCUUUAAUGUGUCCACUAUUCCGCUUUGUCUAUGGAUAAUAGUUUCAGGUGCCACCGAUCAUAUGACUGGAUGCUCUAAAAUAUUUUCUUUCUAUAGUCCUUGUGCAGGCAAUCAAAAAAUUAAGAUUGCUGAUGGCUCACUCUCGGCAAUUGCUGGGAAAGGGUCAAUUGUUAUCUCUAAUACUCUCAUUCUUCACAAUGUCCUUCAUGUUCCCAAUCUCUCUUGUAAUCUUUUGUCUGUAAGUAAAAUAACUCGUGAUUUAAAGUGCUGUGCUAAAUUUCUUCCAAAUUGUUGUGAAUUUCAGGAACUGGAAACGGGGAGGAUGAUUGGCAAUGCUAGAGAGUAUGGCGGUCUCUAUUACUUUGAUGAUGGGAACUCUAUGUGUUAGCAACAGAAAAUUUCGAAUCUCGGAGCAUGCUUUAGUUCUACUGAUGAUAACAUAAUGUUAUGGCACCGUAGGUUAGGCCAUCCUAGCUUUUUAUAUUUAAAACAUUUGUUUCCAAACUUAUUUCGUAAUAAACUUUUAUUGUCAUUUCAAUGCGAUAUUUGUCAGUUAGCUAAACAUCAUCAUGCAUCUUUUCCUAUUCAACCAUAUAAAGCAUCCAAGCCUUUUACCCUUAUUCAUAGUGAUGUGUGGGGUCCCUUUAGGACAUUCACCAAUUUUGGAAAAAGAUGGUUUAUAACAUUUAUUGAUGACCAUACACGCCUAAGUUGGGUCUAUCUACUCAAAGAAAAAUCUGAAGCAGAACAUGUUUUAAAAAACUUUUAUAAUAUGGUUGAAACACAAUUUCAAACAAAAAUUCAAGUCUUUCAAAGUGACAAUGGGAAGGAAUACUUUAAUCAAAUAUUGGGGUCAUUUUUCUUAGAAAAAGGAAUUGUUCAUCACAGCUCUUGUAAUGACACUCCUCAACAAAACGGAAUAGCAGAACGAAAAAAUAAGCACCUAUUAGAAGUAGCUAGGUCUUUAAUGUUCACCACUAAAGUUCCUAAAUACUUAUGGGGGGAAGCAAUUCUUACUGCUACAUAUCUUAUUAAUAGGAUGCCAUCAAGAGUUUUGAACUUUCAGCCACCAUUGACCGUUUUUAAAAAAUUCUUUCCAAUGACACGUUUGACUUUAGAUUUACCUUUAAAGGUCUUUGGAUGUGUUGCCUUUGUACAUAUACACAAUCAUAAUAGGGAUAAACUAGAUCCAAGGGCUGUAAAGUGUGUUUUUCUGGGCUAUUCGCCUACUCAAAAAGGGUAUAAAUGUUUUGAUCCUAACAAACAAAAAUAUUUUGUCACGAUGGAUGUUACCUUCUUUGAGUCUCAAAGUUUUUUUAAUCCUCCUCUUCAGGGGGGGAAAGGAAAUGAAGACUCGGUGUUUGAGCUUGACAUGAAUACUAAUGGUGAGACAAAUAUUGAAACUGAAAUUUUUAAUCCUAAUACCUUGAAUAAGGAGGAUAGGAGGAUUACCUUAGUACCUGAACAUAAAAUUGACACUACGAUAAUAGACGAGGCACGCUUCAAUGAUGAGAGAUUGUUUGGGAAAACUUACACUAGGGAGAAACGGAUUCAAAGUAAGAAAGAUGCAGUGAUACUUCCUCAACGCCAUGAAUCUGAUCCAAUUCCAGAUCCGAAAAACAUUGAUUCUGAAAAUCCAGGUACAAUCUCUAAAUUUAUAGAGUCUGAAUCCUUAUCUAUCCCACAAGUACAUUCUGACCCUCUAGAUCUUCCCAUUGCUCUUAGGAAAAGAAUUAGGUCAUGUACUCAACAUCCCCUUUCCAAUUUUGUGUCUUAUAAGAACCUGUCAUCAUCUUAUCAUACUUUUGUCUCACAAUUGUCAAGUGUGGAUAUACCUAAGUCUAUACAGGAAGCGCUAAAGGUUCCUGAAUGGAAGAAGGCUGUUCGUGAAGAAAUGGAGGCUCUAGAAAAAAACAGAACGUGGGAGAUGGUUUAUUUGCCUAAAGGAAAAUUGAUUGUUGGUUGUAAGUGGAUUUUCACUGUGAAAUACAACUCAGAUGGAUCCUUGAAACGCUAUAAAGCAAGGUUAGUAGCAAAAGGAUUCACACAAACCUACGGAGUUGAUUAUCAAGAGACAUUUGCUCCCGUAGCCAAACUAAAUACCAUUCGAAUACUACUCUCUGUAGCUGUUAAUUUGGAGUGGCCAUUGUUUCAAUUGGAUGUUAAAAAUGCGUUUCUCAAUGAAGAAUUGGAAGAGGAAGUAUAUAUGGGUGCGCCCCCUGGUUUUGAAGACAAGUUUGGAGGAAAGGUAUGUAAAUUGAAGAAAUCCCUUUAUGGACUGAAGCGGUCUCCUCGUGCUUGGUUCAAGAGAUUUACCAGGUUUGUUAGAAAAGAAGGAUAUAGUCAAGGACAAUCUGAUCAUACAAUGUUCGUGAAACACACAGAUGGUGGAAAGAUGGCUAUCUUGAUUGUAUACGUAGAUGACAUAAUACUUACUGGAAGCGAUGGUGAUGAGAUGAGUAGGCUGAAGAAGCACCUGGCAUCGGAAUUUGAAAUUAAGGAUUUGGGUCUUACGCUAUUUCUUGGGUAUGGAAGUUGCAAGAUCUAGAAUAGGAAUUUCUGUGUCACAAAGAAAGUAUGUUUUGGACUUGCUAGAGGAGACAGGAAUGAGUGGUUGCAGACCAAGUGAUAUGCCCGUGGAUCUUAAUCAGAAGUUAGGAGAGGUUUUCGAUGGAGUUCCAGUUGAUAAAGGUAGAUAUCAACGUCUUGUAGGAAAACUCAUUUAUUUAUCUCACACAAGACCUGAUAUUGCCUUUGUCGUUAGUGCUGUAAGUCAAUAUAGGCACUCACCCUGUGUGGAACAUUUGGAGGCAGUUCACAAGAUUCUCAGGUACUUAAAGAGUACACCUGGAAGAGGGUUAUUAUUUAAGAAGAGUGAUCAAAUGAGUGUAGAAGUCUUCACAGAUGCAGACUGGGCAGGCUCAAUUUCAGAUAGAAGAUCAACAUCUGGUUACUGUACGUUCUUAUAGGGAAAUUUAAUUACUUGGCGAAGCAAAAAACAAAACGUGGUUGCCAGGAGUAGUACUGAAGCUGAGUUUAGGGCCAUGGCAAAUGGAGUUUGCUAGGUGUUAUGGAUUAAAAGAGUCCUUGGAGAACUGAAAUUAGAUAUUGAAGCACCUAUGAGACUGUUCUGUGACAAUAAAUCAGCAAUAAGCAUUGCAAAUAAUCCUGUUCAGCAUGAUCGUACAAAGCACAUUGAGAUUGAUAGGCAUUUUAUUAAAGAAAACCUGGAAAAUGGAGUUAUAUGUAUGCCGUUCAUCCCUUCAGAGCAACAAACAGCAGAUGUUCUUACCAAGGGACACUUCAGGCCAAAGUUUGAAUCUUUCAUUGACAAGUUGGGCAUGAUUAAUAUCUAUGCACCAACUUGAGGGGUGGUGUAGAAAAUAUGGAAAGAUUAGAUUAGUUGACAUUCCUGAUUUCUAGGAUUAGUUGUCUAAUUUGUCUGAUUUGUACAGCUAUUACUAAUUUGUAUAUUUCCAAAAAUUAUGAAUGUGUAGUCCUAUAAAUUAACCCUAUUGUAGUAACAGAAAGCAGAUCUGAAAAAUAAGAAAAGAUAUUUAUUCUUCUCCUUUGUUAACAGUAACAAACAUUUUUUUUAAAAUAGGAUCAAAACAUUUAUAACCCUUUUGUGUUGGAGAAUAUCCAACAAAAAUGCAUUUUCUAGCCUUUGGAGCAAGUUUGCCCCGAUUCUGGUUGUGAAUAUGGACAAAAGCAACACAACCGAAUAUUUUGGGUGGAAGUGUGACUGAAAUUCGUGAGGUAGAGAAACAUUGAUUAAAGAAAUCAGAUGGAGUUUGAAAUUGUAGAACUUUUGAAGGCAUUCGAUUUAUCAAAUAGGCAGCGGUGAGUACAGCUUCCCCCCACAAAUACAUAGGAACUUGAGUUGUAAAAAGUAAGGAUCUAGCAACUUCAAUGAGAUGCUUAUUUUUGCGUUCAGCAAUUCCAUUUUGUUGGGGGGUAUCCGUACAUGAACUUUAAUGAAACAUGCCAUUCUUUUCAGUCUAGUAAACUAUUUAUUUAUUUAUUUUUGGGUUAUGGAUGCAGCUGUUAGAUUUUAUUUUCUCAAUGAAGUUCCUUUAUUUAUCCAAUUGCUAUGUCAGGCUAAGCAGAUUUUCAUUAAAAAGCCAGACACAUGCUUGACAUGCAAAUUUAAUAUUGCUGCUGUUGAUUGUGCAUUACUUCAAAAUAACGGAUCUAUUCAGAUAUAAAAGUAUAAUUGUAAAUAUUUAGAGUCUGAAAAUACUAUUUUUCUUAUUUCAUUCAUUCUACAAGUUACACUUAAAUAGAAUGUAGAAAACAAACUCCUAAUAGAUAUCCCCUAAUUGUAGGAUACUUAUCUAAACUUGAAUUUAAAAAAAUGAUUAUCUAAAACUUUAUUCUGAUAAAACUUUAACACUAAACUAAUUAUCUAAAAUUUUAUUCUGAUAAGACUUUCAAACUAACUGAAAAAUCCUAACUUCUUGACAAUAAUAAAUACUUGUCUUGCUAACUUUGAUGCAUGUGUUUCUCAAAAUGAAAGUUAUUCACAAACUUCAUAAUGUUCCUUUUGGUAUUUUCAGAAUUUGGUUGAUUCUAAUUCCCUUCCCAUUGCAGCAAAAUCAAAAUGGUCAAUGAUCUGCUCGAGGGCGUUCAUCUUAUUGCUUCUGUAGAGGCUAUUUCUCUUGGAGUUCAAUUUGGGAUUCAUCCAUGGGUUCUCUAUGAUAUCAUUUCAAAUGCUGCUGGAAAUUCAUGGUUUGUUGCUACCUGUCUCAUUUUUCUAUCCGUUUCUCCCUGAUGACAGUUUCAUGAUGUUCAAAGUUCAAACAGAAAUACAAAAGCAGAGAAAAAAAUUUAGCAACUAUAGAUGCUCUUAAUUCAGUAGCUGGUUCAGUAGUUGGAUGAUGUUUAGUUAAUCUUUUGUCUUAUUGUUGAUAGUACAACAACUUGGAAACUGUUUCAAGGGUUUCGGGCGUUAUUGUGGUUGACAAAAUUAGAGUUCGGGGUAUCAUGAUAAUUUUAAAAAUUGACAUUGACGUAAAUGUUUUAGUUGUCAAGUCGUCUUGGAGUUCUACUGAUAGGACAAGAAACCAAAAUGAAAGCUUGAAAAUUAUUAAUUUUUCCUUUAUCUCCCUCUCUCUUUUUAUUAAUAUGUUAAGAAAUGGAAAAAAAAACAAAAUAUAGUUUGAACUUCAGAGGGUUUUCAGAAAAGCCAUUAGAAAGAAGCUGAUCUAACUGUCCACCCAUCUUCCACAGAAGACGAUGAGAAUAGAAAAUGCACAUCAGAAACUAGCUCUCUGAUCACACUACAUGCAUCCCUACUAUGAUGACGGAAAACUGGUCUCUGAAACGCUAAAAAAUGGAAAACAUACUGAAAUCUAAUUAUAUCAUGUAAAACUUGAACUUCCCUCUUUACUUUUAAAAUUUUUUCUAUUGCUGUCCAAAGAAUAGCCUCAACAAGCUAGCUCUAUAUCUCUCUAGCUUGCCUACCUUAAUUGGAAGCACAAAUGAUUGUCUAUGAGAAAUGAUAUGCAAGAAGUCAGAAUCACCCAUGCAACACGGAAACUGAGAAGAGUUUAUCCCAUAAUUGCAAAACAAUGUGAUUAUGAAGAAAGAGAUUGUCAAUACAUUCUUUAAGGUUUUAAUAACUGUAGUCAACCAAUUUUACAGUCAUUAGGAAGGAAGAAAAAGAAAAAAAGAUAAGAAAAGAGAAGGUUUGUUAAAAUUGAACCUUGACGCCACAAGAGAUUUACAAUUAAUUAAACGUAGGCACACAUAAUUGGCAAUUCAGGAAGUUUCUGGCCUCUACAUAAGGAAAAGUAAUUGAUUGGUUAAACUUUGAAUGAUCUCUUGCCCUUCUUGCUCUUUGAGUUGAGGGAAAAAUAAAAAGGGUAACAGAGAGAAGGUUUGUUAGAACUGAACCUUAAUGCUGCAUUAGAUUUAAUAAAAUUAGACAACAUAUAGACAGUAAUUCUGAAAAAUAGUAGAACUAAUCUAGCAAAUUGUAAUAACUCUAUUUUUUUUAUUUUGACAACUAAUUAACUACCAAAAUAUGUUGCCAUGCACUUGAAGGUAUGUAUGGAUUACACUUUAAAUUGCUAGAUGGUGAUUAGGAGAAUGCAUGGCAUCAAUAAUUAAGAUUGUCUAAUGACAGUUUGAGCUGUAUAUGUCCUAAUAUUAUAUUGUGCUUCUAUCCUUCAUUUUUUAACUGAUUUAUUCUUUCCUGAUCAACAUCUAAUUUCUGUGAUUUGUUACUGCUUUCUCAUAUGUUCGAUUGCAUAACUUUGUGGAGUAUAAAUGACCUGACAAGUUAUUAGUUUACCUCUCUAAAUGUAGGACAGGUUGUGAAGGUGACAAAGUUUGAGUCACAGUCUAUGGCUGAUCUGGCCCCAUUAAUCGUUAAUUUAAGCUCAACAGUGACUAGCGAUUGAAUUGGUUCUUAUUUUACUUUGUAUUCUGUACACAAUAAUUAAUUGAUAUAAUGAUCUAAGCUAUCAGCUGAAUCUUUUGUUUUUCACAUUUUUUAAAUGGUUUAUGUGCGCUUGUUUCCCGCUGGCAAACUAUUAUGACUGCUUCUACAAGCACUUAUGUUUUCUGCCUUUGCGUUUGCUGAAAAUUUGUUUCUGAGUUUGGGAAGUGAUGUUCAUGCUGCAGGAUUUUCAAGAAUUAUAUUCCCAAUCUGUUGAGGGGUGAUGCCAAACUUCAUUUCCUUAAUGCGUUCAUUCAGAAUUUGGUAAGAAGAGAUUCUUACUUUUGUUGGAUGUGGUUACUUCUUAGGGAUGCACUUUUUUGUAUCUGUAUUUAGCAUUAUUUUGAAGAGUUUGCUAGGAAAAUUUACUGUUGCACUAAUGUUUUAGAAGCUCAUGUAUUUCCUAUAGUAUUAUUCUGUAACUAUUUUGAGCCAAAGAUUUUAUGGAUUACUUAAUCUAAAGUUUAUGUGGCAAUUUUGAUCCUGGAUAAUUCAUGUAGUUUUGGCAAGAAACCAGAGUGUUGUAUAUUUUUUAGGAACUACACCUCUCGACUGAACCUACAAAAAGCUGAUAGACUUUAGCUUAAUCCUCUAUGAGCUAGUUUUUGGAAUGUAAAUUCAUUGACACUUAUAUACAUAAAUUCUCUAUGCUUUUUCAAUCUUAUAAAAUUUCACAUGGUUUUGCUCUACAACCAAAUUGUUCCAAAUACUUCGAAGGAUUUAAUUCCCAUGCAAUGUCUAGUUUGAUAAAGUUGAUAUACUCCUGUGUAACCUUCUGUCAAGCUAGUUUCUGGAAACCAAAUUCAAUGAAAUCUUAUGUGGCAUAUGUUUUUUCAUGAUUAUUUUGAUCCUUUAAAAUUUCUUGUGGUGUAGUAUGCUCAGUGCCUGACUAAAAUCAGUGUUUGGUGUUUGGAUGAUUAGCAUUUGUGUGGUGUGUUACUGAAUUAUUGGUUAUUUGACAAGGGUAACUAGAACUAGUUUCACCAAGGGUCAGGUGUUUGAAUCACGAAAAUGCCCCAUUUUAUUAAUUAAUUAUAACAUCGAGUUACCAGGGCCCGUUUUCUAUUCUAAGUGACAACCUGGCUAAUUAUAUUCAGUCAUGCAUGUUAGGAAGUGUAUUAGAUUUUAAAUAAGUUUUUUAUGAUCUUUGCUAUCGUGUUAAGCUUUUAGCAUUCAUGGUGUUAUUAACAUGGUAAAUUACCUGAAAGGCUUGUGAAAAAUUAUGAAAUUUCUAUGGUUAGCAGGAGAUCUCUUUUUUCUUAAUUUCUCUUCAGGUUGGUUCAAGUUCCAUUCAGAAACUUUUACAAAGCUAUCCAAAACACAUUAACAAGUAUAAAAAAAGAGGUUAAUGUAUAUUUUGUUUUCCUGAAUAUGAUGGGGAGACGACAUUUGUUUAACAUAAAUUUUAUUUUAUUUUUUAUUUUAAAUCAGCUCUCCACUCUCUUCAGUUUUCAAAGGUAAAGCACAUGUUGACGCCAUGUUUUUAGAAAUUCUGAAGAAACUAAUAAUUGAAAGUUGUUAGUCAUCUCUUUAUUAAGUUUAGAUGGUUUUGGGGGUUAUAAUAUCUCAUAUGAGUAUUUUUUAAUGUACUUCAAUUUUUUCUUUUAAUAUCUUAAAUUUCAUAAGUUUAUGUUGCAAGGAAAAACAAUAUUUUACUUUUUUAUUAUGUACUAUGAUUUAAUUAUUAGACUUUUUGACUGCUUUCAUAAUGUUUAUAUUUUCAUUAAAUGAGACUAAUUGGAACUUUCAAAUUCAAGGGCAUUGCUUUGGACAUGGCCAAGACGCUUGCUUUUCCCCUCCCGCUCUUGGCAGUUGCUCAUCAACAACUAAUUCUUGGUAGCAAUAGUAAUCCAUUAUUUAAUUUGAAUAAAAAAAUCAGAUUUAAUAAUUGUGUUGUUGGUAGAAGCAACCUGGUUUGUUCUUACCUGUUCUUUUAAUAAAUUUCCAAUUUCAGGAUUGUCUCAUGCUCAUGCCAAUGAUGAUAAUCCCCCACUGGUCAAGGUUAUUUCUCUAUUUUGUUUUUCCUUUUUUUCUUUAUAUGUAUUGUUACUUUGCUUUUAGGUAAGAUUCAAUGGAAUAUGGGCUAUGGUUGUGUGUUUUUUUUAAAAAUAGAAAUCUCACAUCCCCCAAAAUAUGGAAAAACAAAAGCAAAUUGAAAAGCGGGAAAAAAAUAAUCCCUUUUGGUUUAGUCAUGGUGAUAUAUUCACUGAACUAUCAUGGUACAGGUUUGGGAAAAUGUACUGGGAGUGAAUAUCACAGAUGCAGCCAAUUUAGAAGCCUACAAACCAGAGGAACUUGCAAAACAAAUUACUGCCAAGUCCAAUUCAGUUACUCGAGUUGGUUUCAUUGGUCUUGGAGCAAUGGGAUUUGGCAUGGCAACGCAUCUGCUGAGAUCAAAUUUCACUGUUAUUGGUUAUGAUGUAAUCGCUCACUUUUGUCUUUAUUAAUACUGCCAAUUCCUUGCGAUGUUUUAUAUAGUAGUAGUUUUCUGUCCUGGUUUUACUUGCUGAGAUUGAAUUUCUGUGUUUUCUGUGCUGAAAUUGUCAAUUCUUUGGUUAAACAGUUUGAUGUAAAAAUUUGUAUCUCUGGCGUGGGUCAGUUUCUUCAUUGGUGCUAUGGGUACUAUAUCAAAAUAAAAUAGCACAUUUCAUCUUUUUAUUGUCCUUGAAAUCGCAUUAUAUAUCUCCAAAGAUGGCAAAUGGAAGGGGGGAAGGGGGGUGGGGUGUUCCGCAGAUGAUCUGAUCAUAGUGGAUAGUAAAUUUAUAGACAUUUAUUGGUUGCGUUUCAAAAGGAUUUGGUUGCUAUCUUUAGUGUGAUUAGCCUUUCAAUUAAUGAAGAAAGAAGACUUAGUAAACUGAGAGUACAUAAGUUUUUCUUUGAGAGGUGUGAAGUUUUUAGUAAUAAUGUCUUUAUAAGUUGCGAUCAGAUAGUCUCUUGACAUUGUCAAUGUGCUGUCUGCAUUUUCACAUGUGGAUUAGUGGGUGAACUGCACUGUCAUUGUUCCUCUGGCAAAUAUGAUUCUGUCCUCCUUCGACCUUCCAGUUGGCUUGGAAACCUGUUCAUGCAUGUGAAAUUUAAGUUUUGAUCGUGCUCUGUCAAUUUGUUUCGAAAAUGUUGUUGGCUCACUUGAUCAUCAAAAUUUCAGUCAUAAAAAAUGACCCUCCUCGUGACCAUCCUUUUGGUGGCCUGAAACCAUGUUGGUGUGAGUAUGCAGCCACAGGAUCAGAAUUGUUCAAUUUUGUGUACUGGUUUGGCCUCUUCACCUAAUAUCUUGAGCUCUGGGGUUGUUUCCACUGUAUGGGCCAUAUUUGAUUAAAUCUUCUGUUUGGCUUUCUUUUGAAGGUUGGUGCUAACUAAUAUUCAGUAUGUGUGUUGGUUGUGUAUGCUAUUAUGGGUUUAUAUAGUUGGAUCUCUCCUACCACUCCAAGAGAUGCAAGAACACGUCCAUUUAUGUAUGCAUAUUGUUUGAGAUGUUAAGUAAAUGAUUAUUGCCAUCGAAGAUAAAUAUAUUUUCAUCUUUACAUGGAUGACAGGUAUAUAGACCAACUCUUACUAAAUUUCAAAAUGUUGGGGGCUUGAUUGCAAACUCUCCAGCAGAAGCAGCUAAAGGUAAAUGUAGGCCAUGUUUAAAGGCCUGCUAAUCUAAGUUCAUAUGUUAGUAAAUAAAUAUAAAUAAAUGAUUGAUGUGCUGUGUGAUUGCACUUUGCAAUUAUGUUUCUUAUAUAAGAGACCUCACCCCAACAGCUUAUUUCGGUUCAUCUGUUUAUUGAUAGUUUUAGAAAUAUUGGGAAUUCAUAUUUUAUUAACUUUAAAUUUUGGCACCACUUGGAUGAGACAGUUCUAUAAGUUCAAUCUACUUGAAUUUAGUAAGCAUGAUCGAUAUAUGAAGCAUGAAAAUUUUCCGAACUGAUCAUUCUACACAGAGUUAUUGAUUGUUGUAUUUGUUAUCAACUUGUACAACUGAUAUUUGAGAUUGAGGUGCUCUGGCUUUGAAACCAACCGGUGAUGUGGGACGAAUUCACUUCAUGUUCUGUAUAAUUGACUUGUAAGUUUAGAUCCCCUGUAAAAGUUGGUGUUUACUAGACACUUUAAUUGCCAUGCUUUCAAAGUUAAAUAGAAGCACAGCAGUCCCAAACAUAUCCUAAAUUUGUUGUGACUUACCGGUAUAGCAAUGUGGGGUUAAAUAAUAUUGGUAAUAUUUUUUUUAUUAUUAUCAUAAAUAUUACUGUUGUGCUUGCAAAAACAUCUACAGGUAAUGGGAAUUCUUGAGCACUUCAUCUUGGUCCCUCUGACCAGUUAUAUACUUAUGACAACUGCAAGAGGAACAUAUAGAUUUGUUGAUAUGUGGUUUGAGAAUAUACUCUGCAUGAUUUCUUCAGAAAAUCCCAUAAUGUAUUUAAAUAUUUUGCAUCAUUAUUGGACAGUUGAACAUUAAUUGUUUGAAUCUGAUCAUUAUGUUCCACUUCAGAGAGUUUAUUUACAGACCAAGCACAUAUUCCUUUUUGACACCUUUUUCCGUUUCAGAUGUUGGUGUGCUGGUAAUCAUGGUCACUAAUGAAGCUCAAGCUGAGUCUGUUUUAUAUGGAGAUCUUGGUGCAGUUUCAGGUAAUUGAAGCUUGUCAAUUUAUUGUCCAUGUAUAUUCAGUUUCAUUAACAGUGAUUUAUUGUUUCUUAUAGCUCUUUCAUCUGGAGCUUCAAUAAUCCUUUCAUCCACUGUCUCUCCUGGAUUCGUGAGCCAAUUAGAACGGCGUUUGCAAUGUAUGUCCUUUAUUUGACAUAAUUAUCAAAAAACUGUUAUUAUUAUUAUUAUUAUUAUCUUUUAUUUAUAUCCAAAAUCUUGCUUCUGUGCAUAUAUCAAUGUUUUAUUAUUCAAAUUGCAGUCCUCACACCUAAAGUUACCUUCUCUAAAAGAGUUUUAAGUUACAUUGAGCGCCAAAGCUUUAUAGGUUAUUCAUGAUAAUUUCAUCAACAAUCUUUAUGGAGCAAGAUGCCAUGUUUUUGGUUUCUUGUUGCAUAUGCUCUUGCGCUAGAUUUGAUUCUUGAGAAAUAUCCAAACAAAUUGAUUGCUUAUCACUUGUGGGUCUAUUUGUUACAAAGAUCCUAGAAAAACCUAGAAAGAAUUUCUUAAGUCAUCUCAAGCCUAUGCAGUGCCUAUCAUUCAUAGGCGCCAUCUCUGGUGUAUGUCUUACAAGAGCAAGGUGGUAGGAAGGUGAACUGAUUGUGAUCUUUAACCUUGUACCUUUUUCUUUAUUCGGCCUAAUUGGGAGUUAGUUUUAGGGAUAUAGGCGUAUAUCCUGUUCAUUUAUGUACAUGGUUGGGUGGCCUUUUGGGGUUCAAAUCAUACGUUUGAGGAUUGAUACCAUAUUGUAAGCUUUAAUUGCUCUUUUGUUGAUUCCUUGUCCACUGCUUAAGUGUAAUACUUCUGUUAUAUAUCAAUAUAAUGGACAUAAUUUUUUAUAAAAUAAAUUCCAUAUUCCAUCUUAUCAUGCCCCAAUGUAUUCUUAUCAUCCUUUGGUUUCCUUAUAUGGUACAUUGUCUUAUUUUAUCAUAGUUAGUAAGAAUCUAAAUGUUAUGUCACCCCUCCUUAUUUAAUCUUUUGCAACAAUUUUUAAGAAUUUGUCACCUGAGGAGCGUGCUAUGUGCAAAAGAAUCCUCAAGAGGAACCAUUUGGAUGUGUGGAAGAAAGCUGAAGCUAACUCUUAUCCAAUCUAUUCUCUCCCGCCUCCCUACUUAUUUUGUGGGAACUGGGGGGUGUAGGUGGGGGUGUUUUUGUUUUGGGGUUUUUUUUUUUUUCGGGGGUUGGGGGGGUGGUGUUAAAAAAAGGUUGUCGCCUUUAGAAGUUAAUUCUCUUGGGCAUUGUGUUAUGAAAAGAAAGCAAUGGGUGCAAAAAAAUGGUUGGGAUGUUGCUAUAAUAGUUAGGGGGAGCAGUGAAUGCCCUUUGGUGUUUAUUUCAAAGGGGCAAAUAAAUUAUUUUAAUCAAUAUUAUGUUGAUGGUCGGUAAUGGGCCGAUAAUUAGACUUUGGGAGGAUUGUUCGAUAAGGGAGGUUACUCUUUCUGAUCUUCUUCUUUGAUUAUACAGACUCUCUCUAGGUCAUAAUUGUUCUAUAGCUCGCAUGUUAACUAUUUUGCUCUACGACAGAGUUAGGAUAUAAGAUCUUUAGGAAUUUGAAUGAUAGAGAAACUUAGUGUGUUGAGAUGCUUGGGUUUCUACAAGAGGUUUCUCUCUGUGAUCUCAUAGAGGAUAAGAGAGUUUGGAUUCGAAACAAAUCAAGGUGUUUCUGAGCUAAGUCUUACUUUCUUAAUCUCAUUGAUAAACUCAAUGCCUUAUCCUUUUUACCAUCCUACCUGAUUUGGAGAGCUAAAAUCCCCACCAAAGUGAAGAUAAUGUAUGGUUUGUCGCUCAUAGAAAUCAACACCUAUGACAUGGUUUAGAGAAAAAGACCCAAUAUGGCUAUGUCUCUAGAUUGGUGUGUUUUAUGUAAAAGCUUAUCACAGAAUGUGAUAAUUUGUUUCUGUUGUUUACCCAGUAGCCCCUGCGUUUUGUUAUUCCCUCUUAUUGGAAAGAUUUUUGGCCUUAAAAUGAAGAGGAAAAGUAGUAGUAUUUUGCGACUGUGCAGGCUUGGUAAUUUUUUGGGUCUUGUAAAAUGUAAAGAACCCGAGAAUCUCUGAUAACAAUGUUGGGGAAGAUCCUUUGCUUAUAUGGGAAUAAGUGAAGUUCUGGGCUUCUGUUACUGCAGAACUCAAAGAUCUCUCUUUCUUCUUUACUUCGCUUAAUUGGGAGGCAGUUGUAUCCUGAAAGGGUCUGUAUACAUGAGUUGUGUUGUUUUUGGGGGAUUUUUCUCCAUGUGGAGAUUUGAGUAGAUUGUUACAGUUUUUUUCUUCAUGUUUGGGACUUCUCGUCCCUUUUUUUUAUUGGCAUUUGUAGUUGAUAAACUCUUAUUUAUCUCUGUCAUAGUUUGAUAGGACUUAGGGCUAAAUUAGGGUUGAUUUUUAUUGAUUAAAUCAAAAGAAAGAACAAUCCUGACCUACAAUUCGAGAGGUAGGUCAAUCUCUUAUAAACUCCUAAUUACUCCUAACUCUAGACAAAACUCAACAUAAACCCUAAAUGACUUCUUAAUCUCUUAUUUAUACUUGAACCCUAAUUAAUAAUAAAAUUACUAAAUUGCCUGCUGCCCCUUCUUCCUCAGCUUCUUCCCCGCCUUCCUCCUCAUCACACACUGUCAGGACUUGUAGUGAUUUGUCCUUACGUUGAUGUCGCGGAGAAAAUUUCUCAUCGCAUCGAAAACACAACCCCUUCGUCCUUUUGUCCUGAAUCUCCGUCUCUGUGAGGCGUUUGAAAGUCACCCCCGGUCAUGCCCCACUAACCUGAUCCCUUUGGGAAUCUCUUUGUAAUCCCAUUAUUUGCGUUUUCUGUCUUCCCGAUGGUGUGCUUUGGAACUCUCGCUGAAACCCCAAGGUCUAGGUUUUUUGUCCUACCAAAGGUGUGCUGUUUUGGUAUGAAAAACUGACUGAAUUGCUCCUAUUAACCUAUUCUGCCGUGUUCUUAUCCGCAAUCAUCUGUGCCAACUCCAUUGUCUCCCCCAAUCCUCUCGGCCUUAGCAAGCGUAGCGAGGCUCGAAUUUCUGGCUUCAGCCUCUUCAUAAAAUUCCCUUCCAAUACCGCCUCUAGGAUUCCCCCUAGCUGCCCGAUAGCAACUCAAACUUCUCUUUAUACUCCAUAACCGUUCUCUCCUGGGUCAGGGCUAAAAACUCUUCAUGCAAAUCUCCCUCUUGAGUGGCCCGCAACCUCUCCAACAGCCAGUCCUUAAAUUCACCCCACGACUUCAAUGGUUGUCGUUGUUCCCGCCAUUGAAACCACGCAAGAGUCUUUCCCUCCAAACAUAACGCCGUUGCCGUCAGUUUUUCCCUUUCUGAGAGUCCAUUGAUGGCGAAAUAGCGCUCUACCAUAUACACCCAUCCGUAGGCAUCCUCGCCUUCGAAAAUGGGCAUUUUCAGUUUCCUUAUCCUAGAAUUUGCUCCAAAUUAAGUCAGCCCCACCCAAUUUCACGCCAUCGAAGAUCUCCAACCUCCCGAAUCUACUCUAGUUUCUGCAAAUCCCGAAGACCCAGCCCAAAAUUCUCCUUGCCCAGCCCCAUAUUAGGCUGAAAUUCCUUGCCCAGUUGCAUUCUGGUCAUAACCGCUCCCUCUCUCGCUGAUAACCCCUCCUCCUAGCCAUCCGCCCCCAAAUUCGACCUGUCCAGACCCCAAACCGGCCUGCCCCGGCCCACAGUAGCCUUGCCCAGCCUGCCUUGGCCAAAAAUGGCCUUGCCCAGCCCAAAAUUCGGAUUGCCCAGGCCAUGCAUCAACCCCAAACGCCGCCGAGUCGCCAAGCCCGGCCACCCACCACUCCCGCGCGGCCCAUUCCGGUGCCGCAAUGACAAUUCCCAACCCUAAAUUGCCGCCUCCAGCCGCGUAACCCUCAGAUCCACCGCUCUCAGCCGCAACCCAGCCUCCUUCGCCAUGCCCGACGCCAGGAAAGGCUCACUUAGGCCGUAAUUCCCUUGGGCCGACCUCCCCACCACCAAAUCUGCCGUGAAUUGAUGCCCCUAACUGUGUGAGACUGGUAGUUUUCGGCCCUCCGCCCUCUGUGCCGUUGCCGAGCACGAGUUCUGUGUCACCAGAUCAUUCUCCCGCCACGCUGCCUUGGCCUGUUGAUAUUGUCGGUGGUGGGUUGAGGUGGAGUUUCGUCAAUUUGAGCAACAUGGCUUCAAGGGAUGAAAAUUGUUGUUGAACGUUAUUAAAUCGCUCGUCAAUGGUGGGCCUUGAGCGGUCCAAUCUCCGCUUUCAGUUUUUCUUCAAGUGCGUCCACUUUCUUUGCUGCCAUUGUCCUAGGAUUCUUGCCCUGAUACCAUUUUGAUAGGAGUUAGGGCUAAGUUAGGGCUGAUUUUUAUUGAUUAAAUCAAACGAAGGAACAAUCUUGACCUAUAAUUCGAGAGGUAGGUCAAUCUCUCCCAAACUCCUAAUUACUCCUAACACUAGACAAAAUUCAACAUAAAUCCUAAAUGACUCCUUAAUCUCUUAUUUAUACUUGAAUCCUAAUUAAUAAUAAAAUUACUAAACUGCCCCUGCCCCUUUAUAUUUCCGCUUAACACAAAUUUUCAUUGGUCUAAACAUAGUUUAAUAUAUUAUCUGUCAUUUUUUCUGUAAUUCUUGAGUUCUAUAAUAUUUUCCUUUAGUUUACUUUCAUGUUUCUGGCUAAUGUUCGCUUGUCUACAAUUGCAAUAGUUGAAGGGAAGGAUUUGAAAUUGGUAGAUGCUCCUGUUUCUGGUGGUGUUAAAAGGGCAUCCAUGGGAGAACUGACGGUGCGCAAAGACCUUUCCUUUAAGGAAAAUUAAUUUUGUUGACUAAAAUGUAGUUUUUAUUAUAUAUUUUGUUUAUUAGAUAAUGGCUGCUGGCACGGAAGAAUCGCUUAAAAGUACGGGUUCAGUCCUCUCAGGUGAGGAGCAUGCAGUAUAAAAUCUAUUCUUGCUGGAAAGAAAUCUAAAUUUCCAUGGGCUGAUCCUUGGUGGUUUACCAUUAACAGCAUUAAGUGAGAAGCUUUAUGUCAUUAAAGGGGGCUGUGGUGCUGGAAGGUAUAUCUCAAUUGCAUUAUCAUUUAAUUAGAAUAUUUGGUCUGCUGGGAAUGAUUUUCAUUUUACAUUUUUCUUGUGUAAUAUUCUCUAGUGGCGUAAAGAUGGCUAAUCAGUUGCUUGCUGGAGUCCAUAUUGCAUCAGCUGCCGAGGCCAUGGCUUUUGGAGCUCGAUUAGGUCUGAAUACCAGAGUUUUGUUCAACAUCAUCACCGACAGUGGAGGAAGUUCUUGGUAUGUGUCAUACACAAAUAAUUAAACUGAGGGAAAUUAUCAGCCAUCCACCCAAAAAUUGCCAUGUUAUAAAAAAUGCUACAAAAGUUUGAAUUUGUUCAAUUUCCACCCAUUAUUUGCAAUUUGUAUCAGUUGCCACCAAAAAGAUAGAAUUACCCUUACAAAAUAACCACCACUAUAAUUGUGUUUGCUUUUGUUUUGUCUUUUUGUAAGGGUAAUUAUGUCGUUUUAGUGAAUGGUUGAUACAAUUUUUGUACAUUGGGUGCAAAAUUAAACAAAUUCAAAUUUCUGUAAUAUUUUUAAUAUUCUAAUAUUUCAUUGAUUCUUGAGAAUACCGGAAUAAAGGAGGUUUGCUGGUAGUUGGGGGCCAGAUUUGUAAUACCAAGUGUUUAGCUCUAAUACCAAACUGAUGCAGUAGAAAUUUAUUGUUCUAAUUAGGGGUGGGCAAAUUGGGUUUCGAUUCGGGUUGUUCGGAUUUCGGGUUGGAUAAGGUUGAAAAUGCAGGUCAAGAUUUCGGUGUGGAUUCUAAUUCGGGUUACAACCUAUUCCAAAAUUUAAUUCAUAUCCCACCCAGGCAACGCCUAAAAUUCCAAAAUCAAACACCAGCCCAACUCCAGAUGCAAAAAUGAAAACAAAAAUGACACCAAAUGACCACAUAUAUAAUACAUUAAUACCCAUCACCAUUAACACUCAAUACAACAACAAUUACAAUGUUAAGAAACCGAAUCAGGGACAAGUACAAAAACUCGUUACACAAAAGAAGAUUGAACAGUUUCAGUGCCAGUAAUGUCUCUUACCCAUGCCCAAAAGAAGAUUGAUUUACAAACAACCAUUCAUACACCAUUUGGAACUGCAUACAUAAACUUGUGCAGCUGAUGACCGUGAAUGAAGCCGGAGGCAGUGACGGCAGCAGUUGGAGCAGACGCAAACGACUCAAGAUCGGCUCAAGGCGACAGUAGCUUGAAGUCUUGAAUGCGGAACCAAAUCGACUCAAGGGAGGGGGAAGGGCUAGAAGCUGCAAGCCUGCAAUGCCGGUGCUCUGAACGGAAUCAACAGCAGCAGUGGCACAUGGGUAUGUCGUGUGUGAGUGUCUAUGCUCACUACUACGUGCUGGGUGUUCUGUUAUGGAGCGCAAAUGUGAAAGCGCAAAGAAGAGGAAUUAGGGAUUUGAGGGAAAGGAAGCAACGUUGGUGUGUGUGUGUGUAUAGGCUAACCCGAUCGGGUUUUGAUUUCGGUUCGGG